RNAcentral lists this long non-coding RNA (207 nucleotides) under Populus tremula. RNAcentral's name for it is "long non-coding RNA (PTRE_LNC001953)". The record is from RNAcentral. Lineage: Eukaryota; Viridiplantae; Streptophyta; Magnoliopsida; Malpighiales; Salicaceae.
CUAGUAUCCCAAGGAACAGGGAACUCUGACCUUGGUGUAAAUAUUUGAUACAACUUGCUAGAAGAACGAGCUUGGAAGUCGUUGUUUUAUUCAAAUUGAAGUAUGGUUUAACAUCGAAGAGUCUUGUCACACUAACAACUGCUAUUUAUUUGGCAAAUUCCACAGUCCAUCUACACUUCCAAAACAAAAAUGUUUCGAGACUAGAAC